This 360-nucleotide ribosomal RNA is filed under the name uncultured bacterium. RNAcentral's name for it is "bacterial SSU rRNA". It matches the Rfam family "Bacterial small subunit ribosomal RNA", at positions 29 to 414 of the family's 1533-position model. The record is from RNAcentral.
AGCGAACGCUGGCGGCAGGCCUAACACAUGCAAGUCGAGCGCCCGUAGCAAUACGGGAGCGGCAGACGGGUGAGUAACACGUGGGAACGUACCCUUCGGUUCGGAAUAACCCAGGGAAACUUGGACUAAUACCGAAUACGUCCGUAAGGAGAAAGAUUUAUCGCCGAAGGAUCGGCCCGCGUCCGAUUAGCUAGUUGAUGGGGUAAUGGCCCACCAAGGCUGCGACGGGUAGCUGGUCUGAGAGGACGACCAGCCACACUGGCACUGCGACACGGGCCAGACUCCUACGGGAGGCAGCAGUGAGGAAUAUUGCGCAAUGGACGACAGUCUGACGCAGCGACGCCGCGUGGGGGAUGAAGA